RNAcentral lists this long non-coding RNA (2238 nucleotides) under Lynx pardinus (Iberian lynx). Lineage: Eukaryota; Metazoa; Chordata; Mammalia; Carnivora; Felidae. The record is from RNAcentral.
AAAAUAAUUCGUGUUCUAAAGCAGAAUUGCACGACAGCUUAGGUCUUACUAUUUAGUUAUAGCCUAACGAAUACUGUGUUCCUACCUGUUCUCGCAAAAACUAAAGAUCCUAGCUUAUUUAAAUAGUAUUCAGGUAAAGCACUAUGCCAUCCGACCAGCUCACUAAAUGUAUUUAUUACCUGUCUCUACAUAGCUUAUGUAAAAGCUCGAUGUUGACUGUUCAUGUCUGCCGCAUUUAAAAGCUGCCAGAGUGAUUGUCUCAUCUAAUUAUGUCAACACACUGUGUUACAGUGUCCUGUACAUAGGCCACAGAACAAAAGUGACUAUAAACUGCUUACUCAACACCUAGCCCAAAAAAGGGCUGAGGCAGUACAGUAAUGCCUUUAGUUAAAAUGGCCCACUGAAUCAUUUCCAUCUGUGCAUUUUUUACCAUAAAUACUGAAGUAGUAUUUUUUAACUGUCUUUUCAGGCUUGUAAAACAAAUCUCUAUAUCACAUCUACAUAGUCUAAAUAUGUCGAAUAAUUCAGUUUAAAAAGUGUUGCCUACUAACUAAAGAAAAAUAGCUACCAAUUUUCCUAUUUAGUUGCUUAAAUCAUUUUCCAUUGCCAUUGUAGAACUGCCUUAAAUGGUUUCUUUCACCACUAUUAUGUGCAAAACAAAAGGAGGAUACUGUAGUGCAUUCUUACCUGUCUUACAUUAGCUGUUUUCACUAGUCCAAGGGUAGACAUUCCUCAGGAGUGACCCAUGUAGCGCUGUCCAGUAGUCAAGAGGAUAACGUUAUUUUCACUUCGGUCUCCAAAAACUAAAGUUGGAAAUCUACAAAAUUAACAUAUAUAGACUUUCAAAGGCCACAUCUUGGGAGGUGGGAGUGAAGAGGAAGGAAGAAGAAGAGAAGGGAGAGGGAGAAGAGAGAAAAAAAGAAAAGCUAAUAGAAAAACGCAAACCUGCAGCUGAGUUAAAUGGGGGGAAACUAAAGUUCACAGUGUAUAUUUUUUGAAAAGUUGAUUGAUUUUUGGGAAGGCUGUAUGUAUUUGUACACGUACGCAUGUGAAUAUGAGUGUGUUUAGGAUCAGGAGGGAGAGCCUGUAUCAUCCAUUGCUUUUUUGGUUAAAUAGAGUCAUAUAUUAGUAAAAAAACAACUAUGUCUAACUCCCAAGUUCAUUCAUUCAAUGUUUAAUGUUAGAAUUAUAAUCUUAUUGUUAAACUCAGGACAACUCUGUGAAGAUUUACAAAGUAAGUGUAUGAAACCUUAUGACGAAACUACAAAGCUAUCAGUAAUUAAUGCACAUAAAAAGCCUUGCUGGGAAAAAUCAUGGGUGAUUUCCCUACAAAACAGGUUGACAUGCAACCUAUUCUUUUUUGUUUCUCAAGUUGUAGAGAUUUUAAUAGUUUCUAUUAAGUCCUUAACAUCUCCCAAAUUAAAAAGACUGAAAAUUAUUUUUAAAGCCUAAGGAAUAUAGAGUAACAGACAUUACAAGUUAAAUGAAUAGUUCCUACAAUUGCUGUGUACAUUAAGUAAUACAAUUUCAUAUUUCCAUCUUAUUACACAUGGAUUAGAUUUAUAGGUACAGUCGCAUGAAGCAUCAUUCACUUUUAUCAACUUCAAUGUUUUAGAGGGUUUUCAUACUACUCUAUGAAUGCUCUGAAUGCUGCAGAGAAAAAGAAGCACAAUCAGUAUUUUAUGUUCUAAGAUUUCUCAGUUGGGUUAUCCUAUCCUGCCCACACACAUAAUAGCAUUAGCAUUUCAUCUUAUACUAUGUUGAAAUACUUUUAAUACAAACUCUCGGUAAAAGCUAAAGCUUACGCAUAAGUGGUAAGUCUCGUCUAGUGUCAUUCACUGCAUCAACAUGCUUUAUUUCAUCAUAUUUGCACACAAGGUGUUUUGAUUUCAGUUUUGUGAAGAGAUACGAUUUAGCAUACGCGUGUUUGUUCAGCUGUCCAUCCUGCACCAUUAAUACAAUGCCUUUCUCUCCCAUUUAAUGGUGUUUGUAUCAAUGUCCCCAUAUCUGCUGCAUUUUAACUCCAUAAAAAGAAAAUGUGAUUUUGUAUUAGUAGUUUUGCUGAUCAAUUCAGUAUUUCUGCACCAGUCAGCAUACUUAUAUGCAUGUAGUAGUCUGUACAAUUGUUCAACAUCAAAAUACUUGUUUACUUUAUGUCAAAAUGUCUAUAAAAUUGCUGGCAUUGUUCUCCAUUUCAGUCUGGUAGAAUAAGCAAGAUAGAAAAUAAAUGUGUAAAUG